RNAcentral lists this ribosomal RNA (474 nucleotides) under uncultured bacterium. Its description in RNAcentral is "bacterial SSU rRNA". It matches the Rfam family "Bacterial small subunit ribosomal RNA", at positions 29 to 499 of the family's 1533-position model. The record is from RNAcentral.
AUUGAACGCUGGCGGCAUGCCUAACACAUGCAAGUCGAACGGAGGUAGGGGCAACUCUACUUCAGUGGCGGACGGGUGAGGAAUGCGUCGGAAUCUACCCUAUGGUGGGGGAUAACACAGGGAAACUUGUGCUAAUACCGCAUGAUGUCGAGAGACCAAAGCAGGGGACCGCAAGGCCUUGCGCGAUAGGAUGAGCCGACGCCCGAUUAGCUAGUUGGUAGGGUAAUGGCCUACCAAGGCGACGAUCGGUAGCUGGUCUGAGAGGAUGAUCAGCCACACUGGGACUGAGACACGGCCCAGACUCCUACGGGAGGCAGCAGUGGGGAAUAUUGGACAAUGGGCGCAAGCCUGAUCCAGCAAUGCCGCGUGUGUGAAGAAGGCCUGCGGGUUGUAAAGCACUUUUGUUCGGGAAGAAAACGGAUCGGUUAAUACCCGGUUCGGAUGACGGUACUCGAAAGAAGACGCACAAGGCUA